This 1614-nucleotide long non-coding RNA is filed under the name Homo sapiens (human). Its description in RNAcentral is "HSALNT0397857". Lineage: Eukaryota; Metazoa; Chordata; Mammalia; Primates; Hominidae. The record is from RNAcentral.
CUGAAGUGAAAUGAGAAGAAAAUGGAGGAGGCUAUAGCAAGGUACUGGAUGCCAGUCCAGGCACACAGAGACAUCACUCUGAACUGGUACAUUCCGGGAAAUCCCAAGGUGAACUUGACUAUGAUCAUCCUCUCUCAUUGGUUCCUGGGCAAGAGGGUUGUAGAAGGCAGAAUAAAGGCCCCCCAAACAUGUCCACAACCUAAUCCCUGAAACAGUAACAGUACUGACUCAAUGAUAAAGAAAAGCUUGCUUGCUUAAAUAUAAUUACUUUGCUUGACUUUGUAGAUUAUUCAGUAAGAACAGUCUCAGGAAAACAGGACCUUCAACAGAGAUAAGAGAAUUAAAAUAUGCAGACUAACAACUCUGGGAAUGGGCUGACCAGCCUGAUAAGAAUAGGCUGAUGGCACCUACAGAAGGCCACAAAACACUGACCAAGAAAGCAAUGACCAACAAAGCAAUGACCUGAGACUGCACAUUUCACAAGAAUGUUUUGAUCAUCAUUUUUUCUAAUUUCCCUUAAAAACCCCUGAUAUGGAGACAGAACUCGGCGGUCUUUGAACACUAGUUCACUGCCUCCCCUGGGUUGUUGGAUUCCUGAAUAGAGCUAACCAUCCUUUCACCAAUGCUCAUCUCUUAAACUUUCAAGUGACAAGUGGUCUGGACCUGAAUUUCGUUACAAAACCUAUGUAUACCUUACCUUACAUGGCAAAGGGGACUUUAGAAGUGCAAUUAAAUUAAGGAUCUUGAGAGGGGGUUAUCCUGGAUUAUCUGGUUGGGCCCAAUGUAUUUGUAAGUGAUAGAGGGAGGCAGGUGAGUAAAAAAAGGAAACGUGAUGAUGAAAGCACAAGUCAAAAUGUGAUUGCUGGCUUUGAAAAUGGAUGGAAGCCACACCCCAGGGAUCGUGGACAGCCUUUAGAACCAGAAAAGGACAAGGAAACAGAUUCUCCAGUCCUCUAGAACCUCCAGAAGGAACAUGGCUCUGCUAAUACUAUGAUAUUAGCCCUUUCAGACUGAUUUCAGACUUCUGACCAGCAGAGGUAUAAAUCAUAAUUAUAUUGAUUUAAGCCACUAAAUUAGUGGUUAUUAGUAACGGCAGCAACAGGAAACUAUAUCAGCAACAAGACUCCUUCCUUCAUAGAACCCAAUUCCCAACCAAUUUUCAAACUUUCACAGAAAAUCUUGCCACACACUGAGACUAGGAACAUCCAACAAAAAAAUGCUAUCACUUUCAAAUGGAAAACCCAGGAUUGUAGAGAAGAUCAAAUUUUGUCAUGUAUCACAUUUAAACACUCAUCUCUACCUCACCAAACCGUGGUACUAAUGUGUACCAAUCUUAAAAGGAGGUAUUUCUGUUCCCUCAGAGCUCUGGGCAGAAGACUAUGCCUGUGGACAAUGUAGAAUUAUCUGCUGAAUGAAUAUCUGAAAACUGUUUGGAGAGGGGAAAAGCAUUGAGAAGAAUUGGGCUCUUUGCUACUAUUACUCGCUAGAAUGGGAGACGUUUGGAAGCAGUUCCCUUAAGGAACCAAACAAGGCAGGAAAUUCUGGGAUAAAUCUGGUGUUCACAUUACACAACAAAAUGAUUGUACUUCAAGAAGGAAAGAAACAGCAACUCAC